AACAAGGAUUCCCCUAGUAACUGCGAGUGAAGCGGGAAAAGCUCAAAUUUAAAAUCUGGCGGUCUCUGGCCGUCCGAGUUGUAAUCUAGAGAAGUAAUGCCCGUGCUGGACCGUGUAUAAGUCUCCUGGGAUGGGGCGUCAUAGAGGGUGAGAAUCCCGUCUUUGACACGGACUACCAGUGCAUUGUGGUAUGCUCUCAAAGAGUCGAGUUGUUUGGGAAUGCAGCUCAAAAUGGGUGGUAAAUUCCAUCUAAAGCUAAAUAUUGGCGAGAGACCGAUAGCGAACAAGUACCGUGAGGGAAAGAUGAAAAGAACUUUGGAAAGAGAGUUAAACAGUACGUGAAAUUGCUGAAAGGGAAACGCUUGAAGUCAGUCGCGUUGGCCGGGGAUCAGCCUUGCUUUUGCAUGGUGUAUUUUCUGGUUGACGGGUCAGCAUCAAUUUUGACCGCUGGAAAAAGACCUGGGGAAUGUGGCAGCUUCGGCUGUGUUAUAGCCCCUAGUCGCAUACAGUGGUUGGGAUUGAGGAACUCAGCACGCCGCAAGGCCGGGUUUCGACCACGUUCGUGCUUAGGAUGCUGGCAUA
RNAcentral lists this ribosomal RNA (582 nucleotides) under Agaricus nivescens. Its description in RNAcentral is "LSU rRNA". It matches the Rfam family "Eukaryotic large subunit ribosomal RNA", at positions 67 to 633 of the family's 3401-position model. Lineage: Eukaryota; Fungi; Basidiomycota; Agaricomycetes; Agaricales; Agaricaceae. The record is from RNAcentral.